UGGGGAAUAUUGCACAAUGGGCGCAAGCCUGAUGCAGCCAUGCCGCGUGUAUGAAGAAGGCCUUCGGGUUGUAAAGUACUUUCAGCGGGGAGGAAGGCGAUGUGGUUAAUAACCGCGUCGAUUGACGUUACCCGCAGAAGAAGCACCGGCUAACUCCGUGCCAGCAGCCGCGGUAAUACGGAGGGUGCAAGCGUUAAUCGGAAUUACUGGGCGUAAAGCGCACGCAGGCGGUCUGUCAAGUCGGAUGUGAAAUCCCCGGGCUCAACCUGGGAACUGCAUCCGAAACUGGCAGGCUAGAGUCUUGUAGAGGGGGGUAGAAUUCCAGGUGUAGCGGUGAAAUGCGUAGAGAUCUGGAGGAAUACCGGUGGCGAAGGCGGCCCCCUGGACAAAGACUGACGCUCAGGUGCGAAAGCGUGGGGAGCAAACA
This 427-nucleotide ribosomal RNA is filed under the name uncultured bacterium. Its description in RNAcentral is "partial 16S ribosomal RNA". It matches the Rfam family "Bacterial small subunit ribosomal RNA", at positions 355 to 774 of the family's 1533-position model. The record is from RNAcentral.